Molecule: transfer RNA, 63 nt
Filed under: Capsala katsuwoni
Lineage: Eukaryota; Metazoa; Platyhelminthes; Monogenea; Capsalidea; Capsalidae
Description: tRNA-His
Source: RNAcentral
UCACACUUAGGUUAAACAAAACUAUUAGCUUGUGGCGCUAAACAUGCUUUUUAGCAGUGUGAA